CUACGGGUUGCUGCAGUGGGGAAUAUUGGACAAUGGGGGAAACCCUGAUCCAGCAAUGCCGCGUGUGUGAAGAAGGCCUGCGGGUUGUAAAGCACUUUCGGUUGGGAGGACUGCUUCUAGCACUAAUAUUGUUGGAAGUUGACGUUACCUUCAGAAGAAGCACCGGCUAACUCCGUGCCAGCAGCCGCGGUAAUACGGAGGGGUGCAAGCGUUAAUCGGAAUUACUGGGCGUAAAGCGCGCGUAGGCGGCUAGAUCAGUCGGGUGUGAAAGCCCCGGGCUUAACCUGGGAACUGCAUCCGAUACUGGCUAGCUUGAGUACAGGAGAGGAGAGUGGAAUUCCACAUGUAGCGGUGAAAUGCGUGGAUAUGUGGAGGAACACCAAUGGCGAAGGCAGCUCUCUGGCCUGAUACUGACGCUGAGGUGCGAAAGCGUGGGGAGCAAACAGGAUUAGAUACCCGCGUAGUC
Molecule: ribosomal RNA, 466 nt
Filed under: uncultured bacterium
Lineage: Bacteria
Description: partial 16S ribosomal RNA
Rfam family: Bacterial small subunit ribosomal RNA
Source: RNAcentral